Prosopis cineraria is the source of this 156-nucleotide ribosomal RNA. RefSeq annotates it as 5.8S ribosomal RNA. The transcript has a single exon. NCBI's taxonomy places the organism in Eukaryota, Viridiplantae, Streptophyta, Magnoliopsida, Fabales, Fabaceae. The record is from RefSeq and is a predicted model, not a curated record.
GACUCUUGGCGAUAGAUAUCUUAGCUCUCACAUCGAUGAAGAGCGUAGCGAAAUGCAAUACUUGGUGUGAAUUGUAGAAUCUUGUGAACCACUGAGUCUUUGAAUGCAAGUUGCACCUGAAGCCAUUAGGUCGAGGGCACGUCUACUUGGGCGUCA